RNAcentral lists this unclassified non-coding RNA (594 nucleotides) under Caenorhabditis elegans. RNAcentral's name for it is "Non-coding transcript of protein-coding gene W08F4.12c". Lineage: Eukaryota; Metazoa; Nematoda; Chromadorea; Rhabditida; Rhabditidae. The record is from RNAcentral.
ACCAUUCCUUGCCAUGGGUGACACAACUAGGACCCCUUUUCCUCUUCUGCUUCUACCACAAGAAAUCAUCAGCAUUACUCUUCGACAAAUGUGCCUCAUUGAGCAACGACUUUUUCAAUUUCUUCGCAGAUGUAAAGCUAAAUUUCGCUCACAAUCCCGUUGGUUUUCGCAACUUCUUCGCAAGAAAUACGAUUCUCGAUCUCUCUACUCUCAGCAAAAGCGAAAACUGCGGUUGCCAGAGUCAACGGGAACCACGAAAGUGUGUCAUUCUCUGAUUCGACAAUCAGGCUGAGGUCCAGUCUCAAUGACAGAUAUUGUCCAGCAAGUGAUGUCGUAGCGGAUAACAUCACGGUUAUCCGGCCAGAACCGCUGCCCAAGACAACGACUAGGCCUGCCAACGUUUGGAGGUCACGAUGCAAGCGCGCCCCACCGGACGGCGCGCGGAUCUGAAUUGCCGGCGCCAACUCUAAUUGUCAUCAUUCUCGACUUUUCUUGGCCCCGCCCAAUUCCCCUAUAUAAGGAGCCGGAAACGCUCAUUCUAGGUCUUCUCUAAUUCCUUUUACUUGUGUUACUUAUCGUCCUUUUCCCCUCCUU